This 132-nucleotide small RNA is filed under the name Escherichia coli. Its description in RNAcentral is "RtT sRNA". It matches the Rfam family "RtT RNA". From Rfam's summary of the family: This family represents a bacterial cis-regulatory element known as RtT RNA. The exact function of RtT is unknown although it is thought that it may be involved in changing the cellular response in relation to amino acid starvation. Lineage: Bacteria; Pseudomonadati; Pseudomonadota; Gammaproteobacteria; Enterobacterales; Enterobacteriaceae. The record is from RNAcentral.
AUUCUGCCCAUGCGGGGAAGGAUGAGAAGCUUCGACCAAGGUUCGACUCGAGCGCCAGCGAGAGAGCGUUGCCGCAGGCAACGACCCGAAGGGCGAAGCGCGCAGCGCUGAGUAAUUCUUCCCCCACCACCA